GAAAGCAGCAGCUGGGGCUGUGGGGAGGCCCCAGACCUGAAGGAGCAGAGACUGCAGAGGCUGAGCAAGUUUGCCCAGCUGCUGCCCCACAUGAGGUGAGUGUUUAUUCCUUUUUAGGAAUAGUGCUUGUUUCUCAUAAUUCUUGGGGGCUCAUCCGGGAUCCGAAGCAUUGAGGAGGACCCCUGGGACGGAAGAAGGGAAGGCGCGCCCCGCCGUUUGAGCGGUCUCGGACUCUGUCGUUGGGGGCCUGCUGCUUCUGACUGCUGGUGAGACCUGCGAUCAGGUGCUUAAGUCUGCUGAUUGUGGACAAGAAAAGGGGAAAGAACAACGUGACUUGCAGCCACCAGGUAACUCUGUGCACAGACCAAGGCAUCGUGGUUUGCUGGCCCAAACUCUGCCUCUUGAAUUUGCUGUCCAUCAACACCAACCUGGAAGCUGGGUGCUGAUCAAGUUGUGGAAGGAGUCCAGACUUCAACCAGCCUGGGAGGGACCUCAUCAAGUUUUGUUAACACUGAAACAGCAGUCUGGAUGGCAGAGAAAAGCUGGACUCACUACCCCUGAGUAAAGGGACCGGUGUCUGAACCGGAUGAUAAAUACCCAGCAACUCUGCCCAAAUCUUGAA
Molecule: long non-coding RNA, 622 nt
Organism: Choloepus didactylus (southern two-toed sloth)
Lineage: Eukaryota; Metazoa; Chordata; Mammalia; Pilosa; Megalonychidae
Exons: 3
Source: RefSeq, a predicted model, not a curated record